GAGUAGGUACACAAUAGCGGUCAUUUAGUGAAGACCUGAGGCAAAUCAGUGACCAGACUUAGAAGGCGAAAGGAACGAUAGUUGGGUAGCCAAACAUUUCCACAAAAGGAUUGCUGAGAAGAUUAAACGAGUGGGCCCUCAAUUCAGUGACUGGCAUCCUUAUAAGAAGAGAUGAGGACACAGAGACAUGGAGGGAAGAAGAUCAUGUGAAAGACGUAGGCAGAGAUUGGAGAUCUGCUGCCACAAGGCAGGGAAGCAGGAACCACCAGGAGCUGGAAGAGGUGAGGGAGGAUUCUCUGCUGUUGGUAAACUGUGUGUCAAUUGUAGGCCUCUCCCUUUGUUCUCACUCAAACCAUAAAACCUAACAGUACCUUGUCUUAAAAAUUCUGAUUAUCAUGUGGCUUAUCAUAUGGCUGUC
Molecule: long non-coding RNA, 418 nt
Organism: Diceros bicornis minor
Lineage: Eukaryota; Metazoa; Chordata; Mammalia; Perissodactyla; Rhinocerotidae
Exons: 3
Source: RefSeq, a predicted model, not a curated record